AAGGGCACCACAAGAACGCGUGGAGCAUGUGGCUUAAUUUGACUCAACGCGGGAAAUCUUACCGGGUCCGGACACACUGAGGAUUGACAGGCGUUAAAGCAGUAUUUUCGAAUACUGCCCCAAACAUGAAAGUCCUUUCAUGAUUGUGUGAUAGGUGGUGCAUGGCCGUUCUUAGUUCGUGAAGUGAUUUGUCUGCUUAAUUGCGUUUCAAAAAGGACAUUUGGCAACAGUUGUGAUUCAAGCUUACGAUGCUUUACUUUUGCUGUUUGGGUCUACGGACUCUUCGUGUGAGAGUAUUGCAUCUGCUUGUCUUGCACGCCUACAAUCGUCCUGAAGACAACGAACGUGACCGCAGCCUCUAGUUGCCUCUCUGUCAAAGAGUAUGGUAUUGCAGUACUGCACUUGUGUAGUAUUAAUGUACUGUACUUUUAGUAGAGGGUUAAACUAGGGGGACCGCUGGCAAAAAUUUUUAAACAGAGGAAGGAUGCGGCAAUAACAGGUCUGUGAUGCCCUUAGAUGUUCCGGGCUGCACACGUGCUACAAUGAUCGUUGCAGUAAGCUUCUUACUGACAAGCUGUGGGAUUUCAAUUUCGUCUACUCGUUAUUGGCAGGAGUUGCAGUGGUUUUUACUUGACUAGGUUUUUUCUAAGGAUGCUUUGGCUUCGGCUGGAGUUGAAUUAGGGAUUGCUUUGAGAGUAGAAGCUGUUGUAAUGAAUGCUGAGAGGGGUUCUCGAAAGAAGGAUCCAUCAACACAGCAGGCCCACUUCGAAAGCAAGUGGGGAAACAAUUCGAAGUAACGAUUUCCAAUCGCUAAACUACAAGGUACGCUAAUUUCUUCUACGGAGUUAGUUGUACCAAGCCCCAUAACUUCAAAGUGGGGACAGACCCUUGUUAAUUGUUGGUCUCGGUCUCAACUAGGAAUGCCUUGUACGGGUGGUUCACCAAACCACCCGGAAUAUGUCCCUGCCCUUUGUACACACCGCCCGUCGCUCUUACCGAUGGACUUCUCUGCGAGACUGGAGGACUUGUCAUGGUGAUACGCUUAGCACUUGUGUUAAGUUAUGUUACCUAAGGAAAUCUAGUCGAACAGUGUGGUCUAAAGGAAAGAGAAGUCGAACAAGGCA
RNAcentral lists this ribosomal RNA (1124 nucleotides) under Vanhoeffenella dilatata. RNAcentral describes it as "bacterial SSU rRNA". It matches the Rfam family "Eukaryotic small subunit ribosomal RNA", at positions 1160 to 1801 of the family's 1831-position model. The record is from RNAcentral. Lineage: Eukaryota; Foraminifera; Astrorhizida; Astrorhizidae.